This is a ribosomal RNA of 269 nucleotides. It matches the Rfam family "Bacterial large subunit ribosomal RNA", at positions 1638 to 1891 of the family's 2925-position model.
GAGACCGUACCGCAAACCGACACAGGUGGGCGAGAUGAGUAUUCUAAGGCGCUUGAGAGAACUCGGGAGAAGGAACUCGGCAAAUUGGUACCGUAACUUCGGGAAAAGGUACGCCCCGGUAGCUUGAUUGGUUUACUCCAUGAGGGUGAAAGGGUUGCAAUAAACUGGUGGCUGCGACUGUUUAAUAAAAACACAGCACUCUGCAAACACGAAAGUGGACGUAUAGGGUGUGACGCCUGCCCGGUGCUGGAAGAUUAAAUGAUGGGGUG